GAAUCACAGAUUCAACUAGGUUGGAAAAGACCUUUGAGACCUCAUCAAGUUCAACCUAUGACCAAACAUCAUCUUGUCAACUAGACCAUGGCACUGAGUGCCACAUCCAGUCUUUUCUUAAACACCUCCAGGGAUGGUGACUCCACCACCUCCCUAGGCAGCCCAGUCCAAUGCCCCCUCACCCUUUCUGUGAAGAACUUCUUCCUAAUGUCCAACCUAAACCUCCUCUGAUGCAGCCUACCAACACAGAUUCCU
This is a long non-coding RNA of Corvus hawaiiensis (hawaiian crow), 255 nucleotides long. RefSeq lists it as uncharacterized. NCBI's taxonomy places the organism in Eukaryota, Metazoa, Chordata, Aves, Passeriformes, Corvidae. The transcript is spliced from 3 exons. The record is from RefSeq and is a predicted model, not a curated record.